UAGCGGUGAAAUGCAUAGAGGCCACCUUAGAGUACGUUAGCUUAGGCUACAUUGUAAUACCUUUACUGAUUCUCAGUGUACGAAACCGUGGGGAGCAAACAGGAUUAAAUACCCUGGGAGUCCGCGCCCUAAACGAUGAUCACUAGCUAUUGGAAAAACGAUAUUCACUGGCUCAACGAAAGCGAUAAGUGAUCCACCUGGGAAGUAUAGUCGCAAGAUUGAAACUCAAAGGAAUUGACGGGGGUUCGCACAAGCGGUGGAGCAUGUGGUUUAAUUCGAUGAUACGCGAGGAACCUUACCAAGGCUUAAAUGUAUUACGAAUAAGCUGGAAACAGCUUAGUCUAUACGACGUUUUACAAGGUGCUGCAUGGUUGUCUUCAGUUCGUGCUGUGAAGUGUUUGGUUAAGUCCUAUAACGAGCGCAACCCCUAUUGUUAGUUGCCAUCGGGUAAAGCUGGGGACUCUAACAAAACUGCCUGUGUAAACUGUGAGGAAGGUGGGGAUGAUGUCAAAUCAUCAUGGCCUCUAUGCCUUGGGCUACACACUGCCUACAAUGACUUCCCUUUAAAUUCCA
RNAcentral lists this ribosomal RNA (573 nucleotides) under Candidatus Uzinura diaspidicola. RNAcentral describes it as "bacterial SSU rRNA". It matches the Rfam family "Bacterial small subunit ribosomal RNA", at positions 676 to 1252 of the family's 1533-position model. The record is from RNAcentral. Lineage: Bacteria; Pseudomonadati; Bacteroidota; Flavobacteriia; Flavobacteriales.